CGGCCGCGUCGACAACCUUACCAGGUCUUGACAUCCUCUGACACUCCUAGAGAUAGGACGUUCCCCUUCGGGGGACAGAGUGACAGGUGGUGCAUGGUUGUCGUCAGCUCGUGUCGUGAGAUGUUGGGUUAAGUCCCGCAACGAGCGCAACCCUCGUGUUUAGUUGCCAUCAUUAAGUUGGGCACUCUAAACAGACUGCCGGUGACAAACCGGAGGAAGGUGGGGAUGACGUCAAGUCAGCUGUGAAAGUUCGGGGCUCAACCUUGGAAUUGCAGUUGAAACUGGUUUCUUGAG
This 294-nucleotide ribosomal RNA is filed under the name uncultured bacterium. RNAcentral describes it as "partial 16S ribosomal RNA". The stretch from base 1 to 258 matches the Rfam family "Bacterial small subunit ribosomal RNA", at positions 954 to 1215 of the family's 1533-position model. The record is from RNAcentral.